GAGCUAUCCGCUAUCCCUGAUGAUAUUUUAGCCACUCCCACUGGUGCCAGUAACCUUUUCUCUGAGCAAGUCACCAUAGCACUGACAGGUUUUUCUGCUGUGACAGUGAAGCCUGGAUUGUGCCCUAGUGUCCAUGGAGGUAAUACACGGGGACCUGGUCGGCACAGGGGACCCCCACGACGUGGGCGUCCAAAUCAUGACUCAUCUGAUGAGUCUGGCUCAGAUUCGAAGGAAAGCAGGGGCCGGGGUCGCCAGAAUCCUUGCUUGGCUGCACCCUGUAGGGGAGAUGCAGACUGCAAAGGAAACCUGAAGUGCUGUGCAAUUGAACGGUGUGGGCAAAAGUGUGUAAAACCUCUCAUUAGAAAGCCCAGCUGGCAACAUAAGAAAACACCUUGAAGAUUCCAUCAUUAAUUGUCUUGGUUCUUGUGGGGGAUGAAUCAGAUGUUCCUCUAGCAGGUGUACAAUUAAAAAAACCCCAGCAUUUUAAAAACA
Long non-coding RNA from Chrysemys picta bellii (western painted turtle), 492 nucleotides. RefSeq lists it as uncharacterized. The record is from RefSeq and is a predicted model, not a curated record. Lineage: Eukaryota; Metazoa; Chordata; Testudines; Emydidae.